Molecule: ribosomal RNA, 441 nt
Filed under: uncultured bacterium
Lineage: Bacteria
Description: partial 16S ribosomal RNA
Rfam family: Bacterial small subunit ribosomal RNA
Source: RNAcentral
CCUACGGGCUGCAGCAGUGGGGAAUAUUGCACAAUGGGGGAAACCCUGAUGCAGCGACGCCGCGUGAGUGAAGAAGUAUUUCGGUAUGUAAAGCUCUAUCAGCAGGGAAGAAGCAAGACGGUACCUGACUAAGAAGCCCCGGCUAACUACGUGCCAGCAGCCGCGGUAAUACGUAGGGGGCAAGCGUUAUCCGGAAUUACUGGGUGGAAAGGGAGCGUAGACGGCUGUGCAAGUCUGAAGUGAAAGGCUGUGGCUCAACCGCGGGACUGCUUUGGAAACUGUAUAGCUUGAGUGCAGGAGGGGUAGGUGGAAUUCCGAGUGGAGCGGUGAAAUGCGUAGAUAUUAGGAGGAACACCAGUGGCGAAGGCGGCUUGCUGGACAGUAACUGACGUUGAGGCGCGAAAGCGUGGGGAGCAAACAGGAUUAGAUACCCCAGUAGUC